CUGCGGCGGGCGUGCGUAAUACAUAGCAAGUCGAGCGAACAGACAAGGAGCUUGCUCCUUUGACGUUAGCGGCGGACGGGUGAGUAACACGUGGGUAACCUACCUAUAAGACUGGGAUAACUUUGGGAAACCGGAGCUAAUACCGGAUAAUAUUUCGAACCGCAUGGUUCGAUAGUGAAAGAUGGUUUUGCUAUCACUUAUACCCCGGACCCGCGCCGUAUUAGCUAGUUGGUAAGGUAACGGCUUACCAAGGCGACGAUACGUAGCCGACCUGAGAGGGUGAUCGGCCACACUGGAACUGAGACACGGUCCAGACUCCUACGGGAGGCAGCAGUAGGGAAUCUUCCGCAAUGGGCGAAAGCCUGACGGAGCAACGCCGCGUGAGUGAUGAAGGUCUUCGGAUCGUAAAACUCUGUUAUUAGGGAAGAACAUACGUGUAAGUAACUAUGCACGUCUUGACGGUACCUAAUCAGAAAGCCACGGCUAACUACGUGCCAGCAGCCGCGGUAAUACGUAGGUGGCAAGCGUUAUCCGGAAUUAUUGGGCGUAAAGCGCGCGUAGGCGGUUUUUUAAGUCUGAUGUGAAAGCCCACGGCUCAACCGUGGAGGGUCAUUGGAAACUGGAAAACUUGAGUGCAGAAGAGGAAAGUGGAAUUCCAUGUGUAGCGGUGAAAUGCGCAGAGAUAUGGAGGAACACCAGUGGCGAAGGCGACUUUCUGGUCUGUAACUGACGCUGAUGUGCGAAAGCGUGGGGAUCAAACAGGAUUAAAUACCCUGGUAG
RNAcentral lists this ribosomal RNA (780 nucleotides) under uncultured bacterium. RNAcentral's name for it is "bacterial SSU rRNA". It matches the Rfam family "Bacterial small subunit ribosomal RNA", at positions 33 to 793 of the family's 1533-position model. The record is from RNAcentral.